AAGAAGACAAGAGGGAAGCCAAUCACAGCUUGCGCUGAAGAACAGUGUCACAGUCUACCCUAAGUCAUCCUCACUGACUGCCCACAAUCACAACUCCCUCUAUUCAAUACGGUGCUUUACAAUCUCACUUAACUUUCCAAAUUUCGAGGUAUGAAUUGUUAUUCUGUAAUCUUUUUGUAUCUUUUGUGAUUUUGUGUAAAGAGAUUGUUAAUUGGGGGUUCCGGGUUCCUUUGAAAUUUGAAUUGUGGUAGUCUAAUUUGGAACAUCAUCCUGAUUAGAAGUAAAAUUGUCAAAACGAAAUCAAAUAAAGAAGAAGUAAUCCUCAAAAAUUAGAAGUUUAAGUAUACAUGUCAGAAUGGAGCAACAAAAGGAGCCGUAAAAGAUUUACAAGUUUCGUACCGAAACAAUCUCAGACCGUUUUAAAGUGAAGGUUUAGAAUUACACAACAGAGUAGCAUUGAGUUGAUUACUAAUGUAGCCAUUAAUAAUUAUUGAUGUCUUCCUAUACGCAGUCUGUCACCAGGGAAUAGUAUGCCUAAUUGCCUACCAAAAAAAUAUGUAGUUCUGGCCCUUCCGGCAAAGUAUAAUGCCAGAAGGAAACACAGAGCUACUACUUUGUAUAGCUCUUUGGAUCCUAGGAAUUCAUUUUUAAGUUUCAAUAACUCAAUAUUGUUUUUUUUUUCAUAUUAGGAGUAUUCUAUAAUUAAAUAUUUGAGCCCCCCAAAGAUUUUAGUCGUGAUUCCGCCUUUGUACACAGGGACUAGAUUUGUGAUGAUGCCAUUACAUAACACGUAAAAUUCGUCACAUUUACAUUAUAUAAUUGAAAAAAAUAAUAAAAAUUAUAUCAUUAGAAAGUAUAUUUAGUCUAUUUUAAUAUGCAAUUUUCAGAUUUUAAAAAUAAUGAAUAGAUACUUUGUACUAAUCUUUAGUCAAAAAUUGGUCAAUUUGACUUCUUGAAAAUUAAAAUGGACAUGUAAAAGGGGAUGGAGGGAGUACACUUGAUUGUUAAUGUCAAGACAUAUAGACAGCUAGUCCAAUCCAUUCAGUCAAAUUUUUAGGGUUUUGCUGCAGCUUAUGAAAUUCAAGCUGCACAAAAUAUAAAAAUAUUAGGGUCAGUGUUAAUGGCAAGUUACAUAAUAGAUUAAUAGGUAGAAACUAUGAUGCGAUGCAACAUCACUGCUGUACUGAAAUUUGAAAUUGAAGGAGGAAAAGAGAUCAUUUAUACCCAAAAGGUACCUUACUCAAAAUCGUGAAUCCACGAUACUAACCUGCAAAGAAAAGGAAUCAAAUUAGAUCCACUAUGAUAGCAUAAACAGAGUAAAACAAUUGAAUAGUAUGUAAUAAAACCCAUUGAAGAACACCAACCCGAUGGUAGCACCUCCUGAGACCCUCUUUAAAAUUUGAAUUGAAGAAGAAGAAGCGCUGUAUAUGGAAAACAGUUAAUGCACGGUAGAAUCGUGGGUGGUUUGCUGUCAAAUUCAAACUAACUCCGGGUAUAACCCAUUUAAGCCUGGGUUAUACACGAAACAACGUAUAAUCAUAUGAAACUGGGUGCGGGUAAGAUCCGGAUUCAAUGGAUCUACCUGGUUUAUAAGGAAAAAGACAGCUUUGUCCUUAAAUUGUGGGCUGCUGUUAAAAAGAAAAAGGGUAUAUCUUGUCUUUUGUCAAAUCCUUUGUAUUCAGGAAUUAGGAUUAUAUAGAUAUAGAUAUAGAUUAACUAAAUACAGGAAACGUUUUUAAAGCUCCACUUUAACCGUACGGGUUAACGUGUAACCUAGUUCUAUAUGAAUUCUUAUUACUGUGUAACUAUUAUAAUUCUUUUCAACAAAACGAGGCCCAAGAAAACAUCAACAGCAGGAGUGGGAGCUUAAAUAACCCACCCCCAAUUGCUUGUAUAUAUCUGUACGCUAAGAAAGGUAUGUUUCGAGGAUUAGGUCUUUUCACUUUUCUCAUUUUAUCAGCUCAGAUUUGCCUUGUUUUCUUCAUUUUUGGCCUUUUAAUUCAUUGAUUUUACUUCAGUUGCUGCUUAAGUUCCCCUAUUUUUCCUAGAUUUGGAGCCCAAAGACCCCUAAUUUUGUUUUUUUUAUAUGAAUAUGUAUUGUAUGUUGUAUCUACCGGUUCUUUGUCAUGUAUUUACUUGUGGGGAGGAGUCUGUAUCGAUUUCGAUUUAUAUGAAUUGGGUUUGCUUUGAAUCGACUGUUUUAUUGGAAUUCUAGUAAAAUUUGUAUUUUAUUGUUAUUAUUGUAAAUUUGAUAAUUCAAUGUGUGGUCUGUGCUUUUCACCCUCUUGAUAAUUGAAUUACUGAAUGGAUGGGAAAGAUGGUCUAAUUACGAUCUGUAGUAUAUUUAGUAGUUGUACUCGUUCUACAGAUUUGUGUAAUUGUGUUGGAUAUGGCUUCCCUACAGUCCAGCUCGUUCUCUUCAACUUCUGUCCUAACUUCAGAAGUUGCUGAAGUCGUCUAUCAUAUGCACUUUCGCACCAUCGUUGAGUGCACAUUUCUUUUGAUGAUUCCAAUAUAAAUACCCCUUGUGUAUAUGCUCUUGGCAUCAUAAGUUUUGUUUAUAUUUCAAUAUUUUGUAUACUUGUAUAGACUACUUUCAAAAUCUUGUGCUUCUAUGUAGGAAACUACAUAAGCAAAUUCAUUUGCACUUUGUUGGUUGUUUCUCUCAUAGUCUCAUUCAUAAAUCAUACUCCCUUCGUCCGAACCAUUUCUUUACACUUUCCUUUUUGGGGUGUCCCAUUCAAUUCUUUACAUUUCAAAACUUACCAAAAAUAGUCAAUGGGUCCCACCACUUAUCCAUUUUUUUUCCCUUUUCACACUACUUUUACUCCACUAUCUUCUUUUUAUACAUUAAAAAUCAAUGGGUCCCACCACUUCACCCACUUUUCUUUCUCUUUUCCACUACUUUAUACAUAUUUCUUCCUAAUACAAGUCCUUCCUAAUAACAAUAACAAUACAUAAGAAAAACAACAAUACAGAUCUUCCUUGAUCAGCGGUUAACUAGUCUUCAUUCUGUGAAGCUACCCUCUCGAUAACAGCGGUUAGCCGUUCCACGGCAUUAUCGAUCGCAUCCUUGGUUUUUUCGUUGAUCUCAUCCUUCAUCGCAACCAGCUCCUUUUGAAGGCAGUAUUCCACUUGCAAUUUCAGCUCCUUGGUUUCUUCCUGCAAUUUUUUAACAUAUUUUUUCAGCCUACCCAGAUCUUGGUAUAGCACUAGAUUGUGUACUAUUAAGAACAUGCAUAAAACUGAUACAAGUCCCGGCGAUUUUUUAGCUACUUCUUCUAGGCGUGAACAGUUUGCAUCUGAUAACUGAGAAGAAGAAGAAGAAGAAGACAUUAUCAAGGAAGACGAAAUUGAUUCUGUGUUACCUUUCGAAAAACUAGCUCAGUUAUAAAUAGAUAUACAGCUUUUCCGGCCAUCAUCGACAACAAGACUGUGUCCAUCUCGCACCGUCCCGUCCCCUCAAUCAAUUGAUUCUCUGCUAGUUAUACAAUUGAUUCUCUGCACAUAUUCUCUGCUAGUUCGACCCCUUCUCCUCUCCUCUCCUCUCCUCCUUGACUACCGAAUACUCUGUCUUUUUAGAAUUAAAAGAUUUACUUUUGUAAAUCUUUGUUCCCGUGUUCAUGUGACGUUUGACUUAAUUUAAAAGAAAUUACUUCUGGCUUAAAGUGUAAAAGUAGAUUAAAAGUCAGAAGUAAUGUGUAUUUAUAAGUCAGUAAAAGUAACACAAGUUUUUUUUUUGUUGCUAAAUAGUAACACAAGUUAUUAUAAUCACCUAGACUCAGACGCUCACAGAACGCGAUCAUAAGCUUUCUUAAUGGUUGAUCACGGUUCAUAGUGAAGGAGAAAUCAGCCAUUCCUUCUUUUUGCACCUUGAUUGUUACCUUCUCAUCGUCUUCUGUCUUGAUCACAUGACCUCCACCUAGAUCACCACCACCAUUACUUGCAUCAUUGGCUCUUUCCAUUACUUCUUCACUCUUCUUCUACAGCUCUUAUGUCACUCUAUAUAAUAACAGAGGUCUGCUAUUUUUCACAAGACUCUUUUUACCCAUGAAAAAGCUAUGAAUUCCAGCAGAUAAUUAUCUUUUUUACUAUGGACAGGGUCAGAAUUGUAACUGGCAUACUCCAUGAACAAAAUAAAAAGAUAAUGGUACUGUUGAUGACAAGAAUCCAGACAAAUGUGUCCAUCUGAUAAGUAAUGUGUACUUAUAAGUCAGUAAAAGUGCGUAUAAAUUACGAAAAACAAGACGGAAGUUAUGGGAAAAGCUGAAUCUUAUUAAAUCUUUGUCUGCGUAACUUUGCCCUCCCCCAUCAGAUAAAUUUAUUUUAUAAUUCUACUAGUUGAAAAGCCGCGCUUUGCGGCGGCCUAUAAAAAUCAUAUUAACGAUUCAAAAUUAGUAUUUGUAAGAUAAAAUAAAUGUGUGGCAGUUUAUAAAAAUUAUAUUAAUUAUUCAAAAUUAAUGUUUGCAGAAUAAAAUAAAUUUUAUAUUAUAAACAUCUCGAUACAAUACCAAUUUUAUAUAGAUACAAUACCAAUAUUAAUAUAUAAAAUUACAAAAUUGGACUAUAAUUCAUGAGUGAAAAAAUGAAAAUAAAUUUCUACACAUAAUUAACGAUUUAAAGUAUGACGAAUCUUAAUUUUAAUUGUGUGUUUUUUUAAAGUAAUCAUGUUUUUCAUAAUUUGAUGGAUCACAAACAUCAUAUAAUUAAAUAAAUAAAUUUUAAAUGAAAUAAAUUUUAAAUGAAAAAAGAUUCAAUAAAUGAUAUUUAUUUAUUAUUUCUUUUUAGUAAUAAUAUUAAAUAAAAUAUUACAUCUAAUUAAUGAUCCAAUCUAUAAUUUUUAAAUAUCAUAAAUGUUUUGAUUAAAAUAAUAUUUAAAUAAAUUGAUCUAAUAUAAAAUUAUGAAUUAAAAAAUAAAAUUUUAAAAUUUUAUAACUAUUUAUAACUGAGCUAAAUACAAGUCCUCCUUGUUUGUGUUUAAAAAAUUAUACAGCAUAUCUAAUAUAAAAAUUUUUUAAAUAUAAAAUUAUGAAUUAAAAAAUAAAAUUUUAAAAUUUUAUUUUUAAAUUUUUUAAAUUUUAUAAACGGAAAAGCUGUAUAUCUAUUUAUAACUGAGCUAGUUUUUCGAAAGGUAACACAGAAUCAAUUUCGUCUUCCUUGAUAAUGUCUUCUUCUUCUUCUUCUUCUCAGUUAUCAGAUGCAAACUGUUCACGCCUAGAAGAAGUAGCUAAAAAAUCGCCGGGACUUGUAUCAGUUUUAUGCAUGUUCUUAAUAGUACACAAUCUAGUGCUAUACCAAGAUCUGGGUAGGCUGAAAAAAUAUGUUAAAAAAUUGCAGGAAGAAACCAAGGAGCUGAAAUUGCAAGUGGAAUACUGCCUUCAAAAGGAGCUGGUUGCGAUGAAGGAUGAGAUCAACGAAAAAACCAAGGAUGCGAUCGAUAAUGCCGUGGAACGGCUAACCGCUGUUAUCGAGAGGGUAGCUUCACAGAAUGAAGACUAGUUAACCGCUGAUCAAGGAAGAUCUGUAUUGUUGUUUUUCUUAUGUAUUGUUAUUGUUAUUAGGAAGGACUUGUAUUAGGAAGAAAUAUGUAUAAAGUAGUGGAAAAGAGAAAGAAAAGUGGGUGAAGUGGUGGGACCCAUUGAUUUUUAAUGUAUAAAAAGAAGAUAGUGGAGUAAAAGUAGUGUGAAAAGGGAAAAAAAAUGGAUAAGUGGUGGGACCCAUUGACUAUUUUUGGUAAGUUUUGAAAUGUAAAGAAUUGAAUGGGACACCCCAAAAAGGAAAGUGUAAAGAAAUGGUUCGGACGAAGGGAGUAUGAUUUAUGAAUGAGACUAUGAGAGAAACAACCAACAAAGUGCAAAUGAAUUUGCUUAUGUAGUUUCCUACAUAGAAGCAC
Molecule: long non-coding RNA, 5893 nt
Filed under: Daucus carota (carrot)
Lineage: Eukaryota; Viridiplantae; Streptophyta; Magnoliopsida; Apiales; Apiaceae
Description: long non-coding RNA (DCAR_LNC000218)
Source: RNAcentral